Molecule: ribosomal RNA, 464 nt
Filed under: uncultured bacterium
Lineage: Bacteria
Description: partial 16S ribosomal RNA
Rfam family: Bacterial small subunit ribosomal RNA
Source: RNAcentral
CUACGGGUCGCACCAGUGGGGAAUAUUGCACAAUGGGCGCAAGCCUGAUGCAGCCAUGCCGCGUGUAUGAAGAAAGCCUUCGGGUUGUAAAGUACUUUCAGCGGGGAGGAAGGGAGUAAAGUUAAUACCUUUGCUCAUUGACGUUACCCGCAGAAGAAGCACCGGCUAACUCCGUGCCAGCAGCCGCGGUAAUACGGAGGGUGCAAGCGUUAAUCGGAAUUACUGGGCGUAAAGCGCACGCAGGCGGUUUGUUAAGUCAGAUGUGAAAUCCCCGGGCUCAACCUGGGAACUGCAUCUGAGACUGGCAAGCUUGAGCCUCGUAGAGGGGGGUAGAAUUCCAGGUGUAGCGGUGAAAUGCGUAGAGAUCUGGAGGAAUACCGGUGGCGAAGGCGGCCCCCUGGACGAAGACUGACGCUCAGGUGCGAAAGCGUGGGGAGCAAACAGGAUUAGAUACCCUAGUAGUC